Molecule: ribosomal RNA, 450 nt
Filed under: uncultured bacterium
Lineage: Bacteria
Description: bacterial SSU rRNA
Rfam family: Bacterial small subunit ribosomal RNA
Source: RNAcentral
AAUGAACGCUGGCGGCAGGCCUAACACAUGCAAGUCGAACGGGUCCUUCGGGACUAGUGGCGGACGGGUGAGUAACGCGUGGGAACAUACCCUUUGGUACGGAAUAGCCUCGGGAAACUGAGAGUAAUACCGUAUGUGCUCGAGAGAGGAAAGAUUUAUCGCCAAAGGAUUGGCCCGCGUUGGAUUAGGUAGUUGGUGGGGUAAUGGCCUACCAAGCCGACGAUCCAUAGCUGGUUUGAGAGGAUGAUCAGCCACACUGGGACUGAGACACGGCCCAGACUCCUACGGGAGGCAGCAGUGGGGAAUCUUAGACAAUGGGGGCAACCCUGAUCUAGCCAUGCCGCGUGAGUGAUGAAGGCCUUAGGGUUGUAAAGCUCUUUCAGUGGGGAAGAUAAUGACGGUACCCACAGAAGAAGCCCCGGCUAACUCCGUGCCAGCAGCCGCGGUAAU